RNAcentral lists this non-coding RNA (26 nucleotides) under Mus musculus (house mouse). Lineage: Eukaryota; Metazoa; Chordata; Mammalia; Rodentia; Muridae. The record is from RNAcentral.
UGGAAAUCUCAGAGUUUCAUCUUCUC